RNAcentral lists this small RNA (287 nucleotides) under Halioglobus sp. HI00S01. RNAcentral describes it as "5' ureB small RNA". It matches the Rfam family "5' ureB small RNA". Lineage: Bacteria; Pseudomonadati; Pseudomonadota; Gammaproteobacteria; Cellvibrionales; Halieaceae. The record is from Rfam by way of RNAcentral.
CCUCUUCGAUCUGCUGUGGACAGAUAAAGUGAAUAUGCGCAUCGACCCCUCCCGCAGUAAGAAUCUGCCCUUCGCCGGCGAUGACUUCGGUGCCGGGGCCGAUAACGAUCGUGACGUUGUCCUGAAUAUCCGGGUUGCCCGCUUUGCCAAUGCCGCAUAUGCGUCCUGUUUUAAUGCCGACAUCCGCUUUGACGAUUCCCCAGUGAUCGAGUAUCAGGGCGUUGGUAAUGACGGUAUCUGCCACUUCUGAGCUGGUUAGUUGGCCCUGGCCCAUGCCGUCACGAAUG